Molecule: ribosomal RNA, 497 nt
Filed under: uncultured bacterium
Lineage: Bacteria
Description: partial 16S ribosomal RNA
Rfam family: Bacterial small subunit ribosomal RNA
Source: RNAcentral
GAUGAACGCUGGCGGCGUGCCUAAUACAUGCCAGUCGAGCGAACGGACGAGAAGCUUGCUUCUCUGAUGUUAGCGGCGGACGGGUGAGUAACACGUGGAUAACCUACCUAUAAGACUGGGAUAACUUCGGGAAACCGGAGCUAAUACCGGAUAAUAUUUUGAACCGCAUGGUUCAAAAGUGAAAGACGGUCUUGCUGUCACUUAUAGAUGGAUCCGCGCUGCAUUAGCUAGUUGGUAAGGUAACGGCUUACCAAGGCAACGAUGCAUAGCCGACCUGAGAGGGUGAUCGGCCACACUGAAACUGAGACACGGUCCAGACUCCUACGGGAGGCAGCAGUAGGGAAUCUUCCGCAAUGGGCGGAAGCCUGACGGAGCAACGCCGCGUGAGUGAUGAAGGUCUUCGGAUCGUAAAACUCUGUUAUUAGGGAAGAACAUAUGUGUAAGUAACUGUGCACAUCUUGACGGUACCUAAUCAGAAAGCCACGGCUAACUACGUG